This 478-nucleotide ribosomal RNA is filed under the name uncultured bacterium. RNAcentral describes it as "partial 16S ribosomal RNA". It matches the Rfam family "Bacterial small subunit ribosomal RNA", at positions 28 to 523 of the family's 1533-position model. The record is from RNAcentral.
GACGAACGCUGGCGGCGUGCUUAACACAUGCAAGUCGAACGGUAAGGCCCUUCGGGGUACACGAGUGGCGAACGGGUGAGUAACACGUGGGUGAUCUGCCCUGCACUUCGGGAUAAGCCUGGGAGACUGGGUCUAAUACCGGAUAGGACCCUGGGAUGCAUGUCCUGGGGUGGAAAGCUUUUGCGGUGUGGGAUGGGCCCGCGGCCUAUCAGCUUGUUGGUGGGGUGAUGGCCUACCAAGGCGACGACGGGUAGCCGGCCUGAGAGGGUGACCGGCCACACUGGGACUGGGAUACGGCCCAGACUCCUACGGGAGGCAGCAGUGGGGAAUAUUGCACAAUGGGCGCAAGCCUGAUGCAGCGACGCCGCGUGAGGGAUGACGGCCUUCGGGUUGUAAACCUCUUUCAGCACCGACGAAGCGCAAGUGACGGUAGGUGCAGAAGAAGGACCGGCCAACUACGUGCCAGCAGCCGCGGUAA